Non-coding RNA from Rhamnusium bicolor, 72 nucleotides. Lineage: Eukaryota; Metazoa; Arthropoda; Insecta; Coleoptera; Cerambycidae. The record is from the annotation of a GenBank genome assembly.
GGCUAAGUAGCUCAGUGCUUAUACCAUAGGCUUGAAACCUAGUGUGCCCGGGUUCAAAUCCUGGCUAGGCCA